This 474-nucleotide long non-coding RNA is filed under the name Pan troglodytes (chimpanzee). RNAcentral describes it as "long non-coding RNA NONPTRT012204". The record is from RNAcentral. Lineage: Eukaryota; Metazoa; Chordata; Mammalia; Primates; Hominidae.
GGUAGCUGCUGCUGUUCAGCUUAAGGCUAAUCUGACCUUCUAUAACAGGAGUUCAAGUCCCAGAAAUCCCUGGUCCUCCAUCAGAGAUACACAUGUUGGAAUUCAUCAAGAAAACAACCUGACCCAUGGAGAAUGGAGAAAAGCAGGGCAGGACAACCGCCCACACGGGAGAAACAUGGAGCCAGGGGAACCUCCCCAUCCAGGGAAGCCGUGAGUGAAUGAGCGACCCUGCGGACCAAUGCUUCUCCCAUGGAUCGUUGCUACUCUUGGGUCAGGAGAUCCCCUCAUGAACCCACUCCACUAGGGCCUUCAGUCAGAUACACAGAGCUAUGGGGAGUCUUGGCAGAGCAGCCGCUCAGGUACACACGGAGCCCCAGGAGCCUUAGAUAUCCUGGCUUCCUGGCAAAAGUAACUGCUACUCCAGCAAAGUGGGAGGUUAGACCCCCAUACCUACUCCUAUGAAAGGGGCUGAAU